AGUAACUUCCCUCCUUUCCUUUUCAUUCACUGGCUGACUUUUCUCUUUUUUUCAUAUAUUGUGGUCUUUGGGCUGGAUUGCCACAAUACUUUGCGGUUAUUAUUGCUUUUUAUAGGUUAUCUGAAUUGUUUUCGUUACUUUUCCAUUUUUUUGGGGUGUGGUCUUCAGUUUUUGCACCAGUUGUGUCAUGAUAUCAUUAGAUAUGGUGUUUGCUAUGGGGAAACAGCCAUUUUUCGCCUACAAAUAUCAGCUUUUCUUCUUGGUAUACCCGUUCCUAUGUGGUCGAGUUCUUAUGACACUGCAUUUUUAUCAUUCUUUCUUUGCCUCCUAUGAUUGGACGGUGAUGGUUUUUUCUGGGUCUAGACUAUGUUUCUCAUGUGUGCAGUGCUGCAAUGUGAUCAGUGCAUCUCCAUUCUUUUCUUUUCUGUCCUUUUUCCUCUGCUUUCCAUUCUAUUUGUUUCCUAGCAUGUUCAUUUUGCUCUUUUCAGGGGCUGUUAAUUUUUUUAUACAUUCUCUCUUCAUCGUAUUGCAGGCUUGCUGUGCAGUGCUGGCUACUUUCCCAGUGCUGCUUCACUGAUUUAACAUGUUUGUGUUUCAAUCAAUUGGUUCUUUGACAAAUAGUUUAUGGUUGUGACACAGGAGUGCUGAAUUUUCAUCUCUUUACUGGAUGUUAAAAUAAUCUUAUCCUAGGUGGUUUUCAAGUUCAGAAUGUAAUCUUUAUAUAUUGUCCAACGAUGCAUGCAUUGGAGUUUUCUAAGUAAAGUUAUGUGUGUUUUAGUUUUUAAGCUUUCUAAGUGCUUGUUUGUGUUUCUAAUGAGCCAAAAACAUGUGAUAAUUAUUAUUUGUCUAGUUUUUUAUCACAGUUUUAAUUAUGUCAUCUUGGUGUUUUCCUAGACUUGAAGGGUUGUUCCAGGUAUAUAAAGUUGAAUCAGAUAAUGUAUUUGGAUUUUUUAGCAAAAUCUGAAUUGAGAGUCUUUUGACUUGGCCUUUUGCACAAUAUCAAGUUUUGUAUUUCCUUUGUGAGUGGUGGAUUUAUUCCUUGACUCUAUAUCUCUAAAGUGGUGGUUUGAUCUUGUUCUUUAAGUGGUGAGUUUGUUAUUCGUUUCUAUAUCUUUUUUGUUUUGUAUCUUAGAGUAGUGAACGAAAAUUAUCAUUUGUGUGAGUGACCUGCAAUUUUAUGAUUUUCAUACCUUCACGGUAUCUGGUUGUGUCAUCUAAUCAUUUUCAUACGUCUCUGCUGUGGUUGGGUGCCAACUUGAGUUUCAUGGUGUGUUUGGUCAUCACAGAUGAUUGUUUCGAUCUUUUGUGUGUUGUAUAGGCUGGCUUGCCAAUUUUUUAGUUCUUGCUUCGCUAUUUUUCGUUUCCAGCUGCUCUGUUGUGAAAUGCAAAGCUUUUUUGGGCAUGGGCAUUUAUUUUCUCAUGAUGAGUUUGGAUUAGUCUGCACCAACAUGCACUAAUCAUGGAUCUUUGCUUAUGAUUUUUACCGGGUAGGCUCAGCAGAGAACAGUUGAUAAUUUUAUCAAGAAGGAUAGAAAAUGAAAAUCCUCACUGACAAGAACGGUGAUGCACUGAAUAGCUAUACUAGAAACAAGCUACAUCAAGGCCCAGGUGUGCGUGCAGGCUGUGGGAAAACAAGAAUCACUCUGCAGCAACGAUUUUCCCAGCUUUGAUGGUGUUCUUGUGGAUGCUGAGGGUGAUGCACAUAACCAUGGAUGUGAAGGGCAGUGAGUGAGUUUUUCGGAAGCUUUGUAAGAGGGUACAGUCUGAGAUCUCAGUCUUCUAGCAUUGUCGCUGCCUAACAACUUCGUCCUGUGUGAUGGAAGAAGAGAGCAAUCUCCAUAGAAAGGAGCUUGGGAAGAUGGGCCCACAACCCCUUACUAUACAGGCACUUCAAUCUUUUUAAUCAAGUCUUUUGUGUUUCUUUGGCAUUAGCAAUUUUGAAUCACAAAGCAUUAAUGAAGGACGCAAGUUAAGCCAUAAA
This is a long non-coding RNA of Populus nigra (black poplar), 1981 nucleotides long. RefSeq lists it as uncharacterized. The record is from RefSeq and is a predicted model, not a curated record. NCBI's taxonomy places the organism in Eukaryota, Viridiplantae, Streptophyta, Magnoliopsida, Malpighiales, Salicaceae. The transcript is spliced from 2 exons.